This 28-nucleotide small RNA is filed under the name Bombyx mori (domestic silkworm). Its description in RNAcentral is "ovarian small RNA-29526". The record is from RNAcentral. Lineage: Eukaryota; Metazoa; Arthropoda; Insecta; Lepidoptera; Bombycidae.
UCUAUCUCCAUGACGGAGCGGGUCAGCC